Molecule: ribosomal RNA, 253 nt
Filed under: uncultured prokaryote
Description: partial 16S ribosomal RNA
Rfam family: Bacterial small subunit ribosomal RNA
Source: RNAcentral
ACGUAGGCAGCGAGCGUUGUUCGGAGUUACUGGGCGUAAAGGGUGCGUAGGCGGUUCGUUAAGUCUGUCGUGAAAUCCCCGGGCUCAACCUGGGAAUGGCGAUGGAUACUGGCGAGCUAGAGUGUGUCAGAGGAUGGUGGAAUUCCCGGUGUAGCGGUGAAAUUCGUAGAUAUCAGGUGGAACACCAGUGGCGAAGGCGGCUUUCUGGACGAUUACUGACGCUGAGACGCGAAAGCGUGGGGAGCAAACAGGA